GAUAAUUUAUCUCCGUGUUGUAGCUAACGCGUUAAGCACUCCGCCUGGGGACUACGGUCGCAAGACUAAAACUCAAAGGAAUUGACGGGGACCCGCACAAGCGGUGGAGCAUGUGGUUUAAUUCGAUGCAACGCGAAAAACCUUACCACUCCUUGACAUGGAGAUUAGAUCCUUCUUAACAGAAGGGCACAGUUCGGCUGGAUCUCGCACAGGUGCUGCAUGGCUGUCGUCAGCUCGUGUCGUGAGAUGUUGGGUUAAGUCCCGCAACGAGCGUAACCCUCAUCCUUAGUUGCCAGCGGGUAAGCCGGGCACUUUAAGGAAACUGCCGGUGGUAAACCGGAGGAAGGUGGGGAUGAUGUCAAGUCAGCACGGCCCUUAUGGGGUGGGCUACACACGUGCUACAAUGGUGACUACAAUAGGUUGCAAUGUCGCAAGGCUGAGCUAAUCCGUAAAAGUCAUCUCAGUUCGGAUUGUCCUCUGCAACUCGAGGGCAUGAAGUCGGAAUCGCUAGUAAUCGUGGAUCAGCAUGCCACGGUGAAUACGUUCUCGGGUCUUGUACACACUGCCCGUCACGCCAUGGGAAUUGGCUUAACUCGAAGCUGGUGCGCUAACCGAAAG
Molecule: ribosomal RNA, 618 nt
Filed under: Anaplasma phagocytophilum
Lineage: Bacteria; Pseudomonadati; Pseudomonadota; Alphaproteobacteria; Rickettsiales; Anaplasmataceae
Description: bacterial SSU rRNA
Rfam family: Bacterial small subunit ribosomal RNA
Source: RNAcentral